UGUGUCACUGGGGUUAUGCUUUG
This 23-nucleotide microRNA is filed under the name Mus musculus (house mouse). RNAcentral's name for it is "mmu-miR-1970c-5p". The record is from miRBase by way of RNAcentral. Lineage: Eukaryota; Metazoa; Chordata; Mammalia; Rodentia; Muridae.